Long non-coding RNA from Coccinella septempunctata (seven-spotted ladybird), 1126 nucleotides. RefSeq lists it as uncharacterized. The transcript has 2 exons. Lineage: Eukaryota; Metazoa; Arthropoda; Insecta; Coleoptera; Coccinellidae. The record is from RefSeq and is a predicted model, not a curated record.
UAUGUGGUCUAUGACAUGGACAAAAUACAAAAUAAAUAAUAAAUCGUUUAUGAGAAAUGUAAAUUUUACGAAUUAAAAUUACAAUAUAAUAUAAAUAUAAACACCAAAGAUUAUAGAGUUAUAAUCUUUGAGAUAUACUUUCUUCUAAGUACCGUUUUGUUGCAGAACUAAAAAAUGGAUACAGAUGAACUUAGUAUUAAUAUUAGAGAAGAGGUACAUCUUGCCCAUGAAGAUGUGAAGGUAGAAGAAAAAUUAGGAAUUAUAGACGUUGCUUAACAAUUUAUGGAUGGAACAGGGGUUUAUGAAAGAGAGGAAUAUAUUAUCAAGAAUGAGGAAACUAACUCAAACUGUUCAUUUACCAAUGUCGAGGAAAAUCAGUUAUCAUCUGCUCAUCAUAAGUGCUCAUCGUGUGAACACAUCGCAAGUGCUAAAAGUGACCUGCAAAGUCAUGUGAAAUGUGUACACUUUGAUACAAAAAAACACGAGUGCCAAUUAUGUGGGUACUGUACCGAUUGGAAAGAAAAUCUGAAAAAGCAUGUCGAUCAUGUACAUUUAAAAAUCAGGAACCAUAAGUGUCAUUUAUAUGCCGCUACUACAAAAAGAACUCUUCGAAUACAUAUAGAAGCUGUUCACUUAAAGGUUAAAAACUACAAGUGUGAAUUGUGUGAAUAUGCUGCACAUAUGAAGAGGACACCCCAUAAUUCAUGUGAAAACUGUUCAUUUAAAAAUCAAGGAUCACAAGUGUCAUCUAUGUGAAUACGCUACAAGUUUCAAAAAGCAGCUUCAACAACAUAUCAACUCUGUUCAUUUUGAUAUCAGGGAGCACAAGUGUCACUUAUGUGAAUAUGCUGCAAGCAUCAAAGAAACCCUCAAACUACACGUAAAAACUACUCAUGUGAGAAUUAAGAAUCAUAAGUGCCACCUAUGCGAGUAUGUUACAAAUAGGAAAAAUAGGCUUGAGAGUCAUAUUGAAUCUGUUCAUUUGAAUAUCAAAAACCACAAAUGUCAUUUAUGCGAAUUUGCUGCGAAUACAAAGCGUAACUUUGAUACUCACGUAAGAGCUGUCCAUUUGAAAAUUAAAAAACACAAGGUGCACAGUACUAAAAAGUGUCAUCUGUGCGAUUAU